UACGUAGGGUGCAAGCGUUAUCCGGAAUUAUUGGGCGUAAAGAGCUCGUAGGCGGUUUGUUGUGUCGGCUGUGAAAUCCCGAGGCUCAACCUCGGGUCUGCAGUCGAUACGAGCAAACUAGAGUGUUGCAGGGGAGACUGGAAUUCCUGGUGUAGCGGUGAAAUGCGCAGAUAUCAGGAGGAACACCGGUGGCGAAGGCGGGUCUCUGGGCAACAACUGACGCUGAGGAGCGAAAGCGUGGGGAGCGAACAGG
This 253-nucleotide ribosomal RNA is filed under the name uncultured bacterium. RNAcentral describes it as "partial 16S ribosomal RNA". It matches the Rfam family "Bacterial small subunit ribosomal RNA", at positions 524 to 776 of the family's 1533-position model. The record is from RNAcentral.